GACGAACGCUGGCGGCGUGCUUAACACAUGCAAGUCGAACGGAAAGGCCCUGCUUUUGUGGGGUGCUCGAGUGGCGAACGGGUGAGUAACACGUGAGUAACCUGCCCUUGACUUUGGGAUAACUUCAGGAAACUGGGGCUAAUACCGGAUAGGAGCUCCUGCUGCAUGGUGGGGGUUGGAAAGUUUCGGCGGUUGGGGAUGGACUCGCGGCUUAUCAGCUUGUUGGUGGGGUAGUGGCUUACCAAGGCUUUGACGGGUAGCCGGCAUGAGAGGGUGACCGGCCACAUUGGGACUGAGAUACGGCCCAGACUCCUACGGGAGGCAGCAGUGGGGAAUAUUGCACAAUGGGCGGAAGCCUAAUGCAGCAACGCCGCGUGCGGGAUGACGGCCUUCGGGUUGUAAACCGCUUUCGCCUGUGACGAAGCGUGAGUGACGGUAAUGGGUAAAGAAGCACCGGCUAACUACGUG
This 468-nucleotide ribosomal RNA is filed under the name uncultured bacterium. Its description in RNAcentral is "partial 16S ribosomal RNA". It matches the Rfam family "Bacterial small subunit ribosomal RNA", at positions 28 to 507 of the family's 1533-position model. The record is from RNAcentral.